CAGCCGCCACGGGAAUACGUAGGGUGCGAGCGUUAAUCGGAAUUACUGGGCGUAAAGCGUGCGCAGUCGGUUAUAUAAGACAGAUGUGAAAUCCCCGGGCUCAACCUGGGACCUGCAUUUGUGACUGUAUAGCUAGAGUACGGUAGAGGGGGAUGGAAUUCCGCGUGUAGCAGUGGAAUGCGUAGAUAUGCGGAGGAACACCGAUGGCGAAGGCAAUCCCCUGGACCUGUACUGACGCUCAUGCACGAAAGCGUGGGGAGCAAACAGGAUUAGAUACCCCCGUAGUCCCUGUCUCUUAUAC
RNAcentral lists this ribosomal RNA (301 nucleotides) under uncultured bacterium. RNAcentral's name for it is "partial 16S ribosomal RNA". It matches the Rfam family "Bacterial small subunit ribosomal RNA", at positions 509 to 807 of the family's 1533-position model. The record is from RNAcentral.